This 497-nucleotide ribosomal RNA is filed under the name uncultured bacterium. RNAcentral's name for it is "partial 16S ribosomal RNA". It matches the Rfam family "Bacterial small subunit ribosomal RNA", at positions 28 to 507 of the family's 1533-position model. The record is from RNAcentral.
GACGAACGCUGGCGGCGUGCCUAAUACAUGCAAGUAGAACGCUGAAGCUUGGUGCUUGCACCGAGCGGAUGAGUUGCGAACGGGUGAGUAACGCGUAGGUAACCUGCAUGGUAGCGGGGGAUAACUAUUGGAAACGAUAGCUAAUACCGCAUAAGAGUAGAUGUUGCAUGACAUUUGCUUAAAAGGUGCAAUUGCAUCACUACCAGAUGGACCUGCGUUGUAUUAGCUAGUUGGUGAGGUAACGGCUCACCAAGGCAACGAUAACGAGCAGACCUGAGAGGGUGAUCGGUUACACUGGGACUUAGACACGGCCCAGACUCCUACGGGAGGUAGCAGUAGGGAAUCUUCGGCAAUGGACGGAAGUCUGACCGAGCAACGCCGCGUGAGUGAAGAAGGUUUUCGGAUCGUAAAGCUCUGUUGUAAGAGAAGAACGAGUGUUAGAGUGGAAAGUUCACACUGUGACGGUAUCUUACCAGAAAGGGACGGCUAACUACGUG